RNAcentral lists this ribosomal RNA (394 nucleotides) under Chlamydomonas sp. MACC 772. RNAcentral's name for it is "SSU rRNA". It matches the Rfam family "Eukaryotic small subunit ribosomal RNA", at positions 612 to 1003 of the family's 1831-position model. The record is from RNAcentral. Lineage: Eukaryota; Viridiplantae; Chlorophyta; Chlorophyceae; Chlamydomonadales; Chlamydomonadaceae.
AUCCUGGUUUGGUGGAAGUUAAAAAGCUCGUAGUUGGAUUUCGGGUGGGGUGGUGCGGUCCGCCUCUGGUGUGCACUGCUCCGCUCCACCUUCCUGCCGGGGACGGGCUCCUGGGCUUCACUGUCUGGGACUCGGAGUCGGCGAGGUUACUUUGAGUAAAUUAGAGUGUUCAAAGCAGGCCUACGCUCUGAAUACAUUAGCAUGGAAUAACACGAUAGGACUCUGGCCUAUCUGUUGGUCUGUGGGACCGGAGUAAUGAUUAAGAGGGGUAGUCGGGGGCAUUCGUAUUCCGUUGUCAGAGGUGAAAUUCUUGGAUUUACGGAAGACGAACAUCUGCGAAAGCAUUUGCCAAGGAUACUUUCAUUGAUCAAGAACGAAAGUUGGGGGCUCGAAG